This 397-nucleotide ribosomal RNA is filed under the name uncultured bacterium. RNAcentral describes it as "partial 16S ribosomal RNA". It matches the Rfam family "Bacterial small subunit ribosomal RNA", at positions 523 to 918 of the family's 1533-position model. The record is from RNAcentral.
AUACGUAGGUGGCAAGCGUUGUCCGGAAUUAUUGGGCGUAAAGCGCGCGCAGGUGGUUCCUUAAGUCUGAUGUGAAAGCCCCCGGCUCAACCGGGGAGGGUCAUUGGAAACUGGGGAACUUGAGUGCAGAAGAGGAUAGUGGAAUUCCAAGUGUAGCGGUGAAAUGCGUAGAGAUUUGGAGGAACACCAGUGGCGAAGGCGACUGUCUGGUCUGUAACUGACACUGAGGCUCGAAAGCGUGGGGAGCAAACAGGAUUAGAUACCCUGGUAGUCCACGCCGUAAACGAUGAGUGCUAAGUGUUGGGGGGUUUCCGCCCCUCAGUGCUGCAGCUAACGCAUUAAGCACUCCGCCUGGGGAGUACGGUCGCAAGACUGAAACUCAAAUGAAUUGGCGGGG